This 389-nucleotide long non-coding RNA is filed under the name Ananas comosus (pineapple). RNAcentral describes it as "long non-coding RNA (ACOM_LNC006557)". Lineage: Eukaryota; Viridiplantae; Streptophyta; Magnoliopsida; Poales; Bromeliaceae. The record is from RNAcentral.
AAAUUGUCUUGAGUUUGAUGAAAAAAAAUUUCUAAUUGAAAAUAUAAAAGGCCAUAUACUCUAAUAAUAAUAAUCAGAUUUAAACAUUUUGGACUAGUGGUUUGUGCUCAGUAAGUUAUUAUUAUUAGUACACUCAGUCGUUGACAAAACUUGCAUGGCAAUCUUGAUAGCUAAUUUACUGUAUAUAGAUGUAAAGUACGUAGGUGAUAGUCGUAUAUUAAUAAUGUCGGAUAGUAAUUAAUGAAAUUGAGUCUAUAUACUAAUAAUGUUGGAUAGUAAUUAAUGAAAUUGAGUUUGAAUGGUUGAUUAAAAUAAGUGAAGAGGUCGCUCAUAUUCAUGGUUUAGCUUUUUAAAGAUUUUGUAGUGGUCUUUAACCGUCCUAAAGUUUA